Molecule: ribosomal RNA, 234 nt
Filed under: uncultured bacterium
Lineage: Bacteria
Description: partial 16S ribosomal RNA
Rfam family: Bacterial small subunit ribosomal RNA
Source: RNAcentral
UGAGCAAUCUGCCCUUCUCUUUGGAAUAAGCGUUGGAAACGACGUCUAAUGCCGAAUACGACCUCCUUUCGCAUGAUCGGAGGUGGAAAGCUCCGGCGGAGAAGGAUGAGCUCGCGGCCUAUCAGCUAGUUGGUGUGGGUAAUGGCCCACCAAGGCGACGACGGGUAGCCGGCCUGAGGAGGGUCGACCGGCCACACGUGGGACUGAGACAAGGCCCAGACCUCCGUACGGGGA